This is a long non-coding RNA of Drosophila innubila, 1265 nucleotides long. RefSeq lists it as uncharacterized. Lineage: Eukaryota; Metazoa; Arthropoda; Insecta; Diptera; Drosophilidae. The transcript has 2 exons. The record is from RefSeq and is a predicted model, not a curated record.
GUGAACAUUUUUUUUUGUACACUGCUGCUCUCUCCGCCUCCGCUGUUGCGACGCGCUCUUUUGUUAGCCGCAGAGUUGUCUGUGUGUCUGUGUAUGCGUGCGACAGCAUUUUUUUUAUUUAUUUUUUUUUAAUGUGUGUGCUCUAAAGUUUAUUGUUGAAUAUGUUUUAAUAUCUUGCUUCUCUCUCUCUCUCUCUCUCUCACACACACUUGCUGUAAAUAUAUGUGUGUGUGUGUGUGCCUAUGUAUAUUUUAUAAACGUUUUCAGCGCUUUAAAAAACUGAGCAGUAGCAACAACAACAAAGCACCAAAAGGCAAAUUUUGUUUGCUAGCCAGUGUAUACAUACAUACUUAUGUGUAUUGUAUGUAUUGGUGUAUUUAUAUAUAUAUAUAUGUGUGUGUGUAUAUAUGUAUGAGUUUCUGUUUGCGUAAAGCAGAAGGAGAAGCAACGUCGUCGUCAACGUCAGCGUCGUCGUCGUCGUUUGCUUCAAGUGAAACAUGUUUUUGAUAUUGCCCACAGCAACAACAACUUAAAUAACAACAACAGCAAAUACGACAAAAGAGCAGCUGCAACAGAAGCAGCAAUAACAACAACAACCACAGAAUUGACAACAAUUUGUAACUCUACAGAAAAACAUCAACAAUCAUCAGUCAAAUCUCUGGACGACCACAUCUAUAGCAAGCUCAGUGAAGCAACAACAACAACAACAAAAUAUUAAUAACAAUAAUAAAAAAGCGAAAACCAAAACAACAACAACAGAGAAACCAUCAAACAACAAUUGUGUUCAAAAGUUAAUAAAUCGUGCGUGUUAUUUAUGUGUGUUGUUUAUUUGAUUUCCCCUCUCACGUGAAAUGUUUGUUCCCAUGCAAAAUGUGCACAACAGUACUUUGCAUUAACAACAACAAUCAUAAUAAACAUAAUAAUAAUAGUAAUAACUACAGCAGAAGAGCCAGCAGCAAAAAGAAGUUCAACAACAACAAUUUAACGACAACAACAAUAACUUAAGGGGGAAAAAUAAAACAAAAUUUCCUUUUUGGCCUUACGCCUCUCUCCGAUCUUCGUGUCCACUCUACUCUCUUCGGCCUACAAUACUGCUGAGUGCGUGCGUGCGGGUGUGUGAGAGAGUCAAAGCAAGAGAGUGAGUGAUAGAGUUUUGUGCGUUGUUUUUGUUUUCGUUGCACACGCACACGCAUAGCUCGGUCGGUGUGUGUGUGCAAUGGAUUUGCAUUGUUAUUGCAAUACUAUGAACUGUGUGUUGUGUGUGU